Molecule: ribosomal RNA, 253 nt
Filed under: uncultured bacterium
Lineage: Bacteria
Description: partial 16S ribosomal RNA
Rfam family: Bacterial small subunit ribosomal RNA
Source: RNAcentral
UCCGAAGGGGGCAAUCGUUGUUCGGAAUUACUGGGCGUAAAGGGCGCGUAGGCGGCUUAUCAAGUCAGGCGUGAAAUUCCCGGGCUCAACCUGGGGGCUGCGCUUGAUACUGAUGAGCUUGAAUGCGGGAGAGGAUAGUGGAAUUCCCAGUGUAGAGGUGAAAUUCGUAGAUAUUGGGAAGAACACCGGUGGCGAAGGCGGCUAUCUGGCCCGUAAUUGACGCUGAGGCGCGAAAGCGUGGGGAGCGAACAGG